Molecule: ribosomal RNA, 85 nt
Filed under: Bifidobacterium dentium
Lineage: Bacteria; Bacillati; Actinomycetota; Actinomycetes; Bifidobacteriales; Bifidobacteriaceae
Description: partial 16S ribosomal RNA
Rfam family: Bacterial small subunit ribosomal RNA
Source: RNAcentral
UUUUUUCGUGGAGGGUUCGAUUCUGGCUCAGGAUGAACGCUGGCGGCGUGCUUAACACAUGCAAGUCGAACGGGAUCCCGGGGGU